RNAcentral lists this ribosomal RNA (253 nucleotides) under uncultured bacterium. Its description in RNAcentral is "partial 16S ribosomal RNA". It matches the Rfam family "Bacterial small subunit ribosomal RNA", at positions 524 to 776 of the family's 1533-position model. The record is from RNAcentral.
UACGGGGGGAGCAAGCGUUGUUCGGAUUUACUGGGCGUAAAGGGCGCGUAGGCGGCGCAACAAGUCACUUGUGAAAUCUCCGGGCUUAACUCGGAAGGGUCAAGUGAUACUGUUGUGCUAGAGUGCGGAAGGGGCAACUGGAAUUCUCGGUGUAGCGGUGAAAUGCGUAGAUAUCGAGAGGAACACCUGCGGCGAAGGCGGGUUGCUGGGCCGACACUGACGCUGAUGCGCGAAAGCCAGGGGAGCGAACGGG